AAACCCUUUUGCCCUUGCAGAGGAACAAAUAGCCCAGGCCUGUAGCUAAUGGUAUUGUCCUGGGUGGAAGGAUCCCAAUGGUCGUCUGAAAGCGGUGGCGAUCUCCUUUUCCUCAGAAACAUCUAACAGUGCCUCUGAAACGUCUGUUUUCAGGGAGGGAUUUGAUUUCUCUUUCUGCACAAAGCUCUUGGUCGUCCUCAGCCCUGGGUGGGUUUGGUUUUUUUUUGUGCGGAGAGACGCUGUGAAUCCAUUGCAGGCAUUACGUGGCUGUUAAAUUGUAAGCACCAAAAAAAAAAAAAAUCUGCCUGCGAACAGUAAGAUGUUAGUGAGGUUGAUGUUAAAAAAGGCGAGAAGGCGGUGGUGGUGGUAGGGAUCCCUUACAUGUUUUAUCCGUCUAAUUACAGAAGCUCGACAAAAAACAGGCAACAAAAUGGGGGGGUGUUUUUCACGACGGUGAGUCUUAAUGGCGGAUGUCUCCCUAGAAAGCACUGUAAAAUCCUUCAUACCGAGAGGCAGUGACUUGGAGAGAGGGGGGAAAAAGGAGGUCUGGAAGUAUAUCCAAAAUGAGGGAGUUUCCUUCCAAGUGAGGGACCCUUUGCAGCCUGAGUGUUACAGAUGGAGAGCCGUGACGCAGUUGAUAUUCACAGCAGUUGUGCUUUAGUGCCGCCACCCAGCCCACGAAAAUGGCCUCCCCGCCGAAUUCUGGUGGGUUUAUUAUGUGAAAGGCUGCGGCAGCACCGUGUCCCGGGCGGCGGGAGGGGCGGCCGGCGGCGGGCACGGCGCUCCCGGUCGCGCUCCGUGUUGUGUGAGGGCAGCCGCCAUCAUGGCUUCUCCUUCCCUUCGGCGCCGCGUUCUCCUCAGUGCUGGGCGGUGGCGCGGCAGGCUCUCCCCCCGCUGCCUCCCGGCGCUUCGCGUCCCGAGCGCUGCAGGGAAAUGGAGGUUUUGGGGUGGUGUGGGUUUUUUGGGGUUUUUUUUUCCCCCUUCUCUCCCCUUUCCCGCCCCCCCUUCCCCCAGCGCUUUGUGAGGGGCUGUGGAAGGGCGAAGCCGGGCAGGGAGCGGCGGCUCUUUCUCCCCGCGCACAACAUGGCGGGAGCGCCCUGCGGCAGCGGGGCUGGCGGCGCUCCAGCCGGGCCGGGCGGGGGGGCGGCCGGCCGGGAGGACAAAGGCAGCUCGGAUAAUGCCGGCGCAGCCCUGACUGCUAUAAAUAACACCGCCCUUCCCCCGCCGCAGCCUCCCGCUCUCUUUAUAAACACCAAGCCAUGGAAGUCGCCUAAUGCAGAGGGGGGAAAAAGAGGAACAAACAACACCACCCCUCCUUCACCACACACACGGGAAAAAAAGAAAAUGCACAAAAAUGUUAAAGCCCGGGCUGUGGUAGGGGACGGGGAGAACCAGCAGCGGUGGCCGCGGGAGGGGCCGGGCGGCGCCGCCACCUCCCCGCCCGGAGCGGGUGCGCCGGGGGGAGCGCGGCCGCCGCUCCCCGUCACAUGGCUCUUUGUUGUUUUCCUUCUCUGCCUCUCUGGGCUGUUCCCCCCUCCGCCAUCACCCAGCCGGGGCAGCGCUGCCCUGCCUCCUCCGGCCUGCAGCGCCGAGCUCCCCGGGCCCGCACGGGCAGGGCUGGCGCGGAGCCGGUGCCGCGCUGCAGUGGAGCCGCCAUGGCCCGAUGAGGUGUUACAUGUGGCGUCGUUUUUUUUUUUCCUUCUUUUUUUAUUUUUUUUUUUUUCUUCUUGUGGUUUGUUUUUUUGGUGGGAUUUUUUUUUUUUUUCCCCCGAGCAGAUUCUGCUGCAGCUCGCUUUGGGUGGAGGCUGAGGGUUAUCUCGGAACUUCACAAGCCUCGCUGUGCUCUGUGGGGAAUUGCAGCUUGUGCUCACUGCAGACCCAGAGUAGGUGAGCCAGGAAAGCCUGGCUUGAGCAACCACUUCAGAGGGCAGGACAGGGAGGAAAAGCAAACACUGUAGAGAGGUGGCCUCCCUGGUAAGGCUAGAGCAGGACCGUCCUGCGGACUCUGAGGGAGGGUGAAGGUAAGUGGCUGCUUGGCAGAGGCUGUCUGCGGGAGCGGCAUGUGCCGGGCAGGGUGCGCCCUGCCCGCAGUUCCUGCGGCUCAGCACCAGCCGCUCCGUGGGUUUGUACAACUUGUGCCGUGGUAUGUGCCGAGGCUCAGGGCUGUUUCCCUGCGAGGGAGCAGGGUGCUGCCGCGAAGGAGGCACCGCAGCCCGCGCCUUUCGCAACAACUGCGCUCAUCGCUCCAUUCCUCGCUCCCCCCCCUCGCUCCUCACCGGGUCAGGCUCUAUGUCGAGAACAAGCGACAAACCGUCCGCACAAAACAGAACACGUUCCCGUGGAGGGGGAGAAAACCAAACAAACCAACAACAAAACCAAAGCGCUUCCGCAGUGCCAGGCUGGCGUUGUAGCGCUGCGAGCCCUGUCGGGGGCUGCGGCGCUCGGAGCCGGGGCCGCCCGAGCCGCCGCUCGGUCCCUGCCCGGCCGGGAGCGCCGGGCCCGCGCUGGAGCCAGCGCUGAGCACCGGGCCCGGGUCACGGCGGCUCCCAGGGACCGUCUGCUGGCAAAAUCGGAAGGAACGGUGACGUUGUUCUUAGCUGAACACCAUUAAAAUGCUCCUCUGAUAUCUCUCAAUAGAGGUGAAAAGCAUUUCAGCUUCCUGGAAAUGGCCGAAAGAGGCGACGUGUAGAUCAAAGUACGGCGCAGAGCUGGGCUCCUAUUUGCAAGGGUUUUUGAACUGUAGUGAAAACGUUUCUGCAGCUUGCAUCGUAAUGAGUUAAGUCAGCACGUGAAGCGACUAAAAAAGGCAUAUUUAAACAGCAUCGGGCUAUUAACUUUCCUGGGAUUUAAGAUUUAUGUUUAAAUAUAUAUUUGGCUGAUAGCAAUACCAGCAUUUAAACCGUAACGUUGAUCUGUUCAACCUUGAAGCAAACCAGCUCUGCCUAACGCAGCUUUGAAGCGACACAGCCAGACCAUAAUACUGUGGGAGCUUAGACAGCUUUGUCUGUACUUGCAUCUCUCUGCAUAUUUUUCCAGGACUCUGAUCUUUGUCUGCGAUUAAUCAUUGUCCAGGACGGCUGUUCCCGGUGGUAGAAUCCAUGAAGUGCUCCAGCUGGGAGAGGUCCUAACGCGUGUGCCUGGCGCUGCGUACGUGCAAACCAGGGCCAGAAAUUGCUGGGGCAGCAGGCGCUGGACAGCGAGCCUGCCGUGCCGCCCCAGUGAGUUGUGUGGGUCCUCAGCACUUCUGGAAGUUGUUUUUGACAGCGAGGAGUGCCCCAGCUGGUCCCUCGAGCCCUGGGUUGCAGCCGAGAGGGCCCGAAGGCGCCGGGUCGGUGAAGGCUGUGCUGCCCAUGGCUCCCUGUGCUGCUGCGCUCCAGCAGCUCCCAGUUGCUACGCAGCUGCAGGGCUGUGUGUGCCUGUGCUGUACGAGGGGAGCAGCACGGCUUCCCCUUGGUCGCUGGAGAGGAGCAUGGAAACGGGAGCAGUGGCCGUGGCAAAAUCGUUCCGUUCCUGGCUGGUUCACAGAGCCGCUGGCAAAAACGCUGGAGCGAGGAGAAGGGACACUCGGUGGAGCAGGGGGUGGCAGGAGGGGAGGGAAGAGCCAGCAUAUGUGCACAGCAGAGGUUACAAAGACAGCAGAUCCUGGCAGAGCAGGGGGCACACACCAAGGAGAAAGAAAUGGGAGAGAGGCCAAAGGCACAGUUCAGAAUUAGGAAAAAAAACAGAAAACAGGAGGAGAGUGUGGCAUAUGGAGAAGGGAAGUAAAGCAGAACUUGCACAGCCUGCAAAUAAUUGAAUAGAAAAUACAGGAAGAGGGAAGGAGCUUGAUUCAUUACUGCCCUUCACCUUGUGGAGACAGCUACACCCAGGAAGAGGAGGUGUGGAAUACAACAGCAUCCUUCAUGUUUCACGGUGAACUGUAGGUUUUACAUUUUGACCCCUGCCGUUUGUGGUUUUCUCCUUUCACAACCCAUGCCUUUUGUUCAGACUUGAUUUCUGCAGGCUCUGUUCUUAUCUUUGUCUACUUUCUGAGUUAUUUUUGGACUUUCUUUAACUUUCAUUUUUCUCUUUUUUAAGGUAAGUUUUAAAUUAAAAUACCUCUUCCAGAUAUUUUAGUUGUUUUAACCUUCAAGAGGGAAAGGCCAUUGCUAGUUUCUAACUGAAGUUAGUUUCCAUUAAACCCACACAGCCAUUGCUGCAUUUCUGCCUGUCUCUCUGCUGGGAGUUGCUGAUGCAGGACAGGGUUCUCUUUGCUUCCUGACACCUUCCCCUGCACAUUGUCUUCUCCUUUCCCUGGGCAGUGCCUGCCAGCAGUCCGGAAGGACUCGCAGUUAGCAGCGUGCAGGAAGUGGUUCCUGUGGCAGUAAAUUAUCACAGGCGCCUGACGUGUUGCAUAAAGGGGAGUGAAAAAAGUGUCACGAACAUCUGCAGGGGGUUCUGACCAGAAGGGAUCCUUAGUUCCACCACCACUGCCCACAUGAAAAAGCACUUCAUGGUGUCGGCAACUAACGUGCAAUUGCCUGUGGAAUAGGAAAUGCCAGUGGAGCUGGCAGGGAAGCAGGAAAGCUGGACAUUCCUCCAUGCACAGGACUGAGGAGCAUGGCUUGUACAGCAGGGUGGGGAGAGGAAUUUAAGCUCGUGCAGCUGUUGCUCUACUAUGACCAGCCCAGGCUUGCUUGGAGGCCUUUCGACUGAGAACACUUUUUCCUAGGUCCAAAACUGAGUCCUAAAAGGAAAAUGGAGGUGCCCACUCAGACUUAGAGUAGAAAUUAUUUGCUAUGGGUGCUGUGUGUGUGGUUCAAGCUAAUAAAGUACUUGACAAAUACACAGCCAGAUGUGUUCUGUACUUAGAAAAUUUUUGUCUAAGAUGUCUGAUUUCAUGGGGAGGCUGUAUUUGCUUCCUUCUUCCAUUUGCCUGGAGCCCUUAUCUUUGAACAGGCACUGUCUGUACUAUUGUUAGACUCCCAAGACCAUUAAAGGUCUUGAGGCACUGACAUUUUGCAAGCAGAUCCAGCUGCCAUUCACACAGGGGCAUUUUUAGCCUUAUGAGAGAUACAAGUUUAAUUAGAACAGUUUUAACCAGGAAAUCUCCCCACUUUAAGAACUCAGAGCUACUACAUUAAUCCCAGUAAGCAAUGAGGAACUUGACAAUGUGCCUGUUGUUAUCAGGAAGGGUGAGAUGUAUGUAGGAAGGGUGAAACACAGGAAAUGUGCCAUCAAAGACAGAGGUGUGGAGCAGGGCAGGGCAUCGUGCCAGACCCAGCACUGUCAGCUUGCUGCUCUCUGUGCCUGCCAUCACGACACCCACACCACUGCUUGAACACCUUCCUGAGCCUCUCUGGUGACUCUCAGCAAGGACAUCCAGCCAGGUCACUCUGCACUGUCAGCCCAACCAGCUCCCACAAACCAGGCACAGGCCAAGAAUCACAGCUCUAAAGCAAAUAUCGCUCAAUUACAACCUGGUUUUAUUUCCAGCGCCUCAAGUUAUUAAUUAACCUGCUCUGAGCAUCACUGUUCCUCUCAGAGUUUGCUCUGGCUGGGUUAUGGCUGCUCUCAGGUCUGAGAAAAUUUCAGUCUGGGCCUGUGCUUUGCCUGGCCAUGCUCUGACAAGCCACAAGCUCCUCUGGCUCCUGCCAAACCUCCACCUCUAUGAAUGAGCAUCUUGCCAGCCAGACAACGACAGAGCAAGCACUUCCCACUUAGCUCUACCCGUACAUCCAGCACUCCACAAAAAACAGGCAGAAAUUGUGGCGUCCCCCAUAUAAACAGGGCAUUUUAUCAUCUCUUCAGUCUGCCAUUGCUGCCUUCCUGUGGGAAGUUUGCACAGAUACCAGAGGGGAGGAUGCAAACUUCGUGUUAACUGCCCCUUAAUGUCAGUGCUAUGCAUUACUCAGCAAAAACAUGGCACUGUUUCAUCCACAGUCCAUUAUCAUAGCCUACUUCACCAUCUUUUAUUCUCUCCCUAUGAAUAUUCCCAGUUUCCCCACAUCCUUGUCCAUAAGGUUUGAGAGCUUCCUGCCUGGGCCAGAUGCAAGAGUGAAGGAAUGAGGUGUUGAUCAAAGCCUGACUCAUGACUCUGUAAAACACACACUGGUCAGGCUGCACUGUAGCUCACAUAGUGAAAAGCAUAUUUAGGAAGCCGAACCUGGGUUCAAUUAAACUUGAUGUUCUCUACUUCACAAAAUAAGUACAACUCCACAUACUUCAGGUUUAGAGGAAUCUUCCAACAGAAUUUUGGGGAGUGUAACCCAGAUUUGGCAAUCCACAGUUGACUCACCCACUCCAUGUUAAUCCCUCCUGUGUAAACUAAAGCGGCUGAAUGCAACUCCUGCCCUGGUGCUGUGGUCAUCUUUAUUAACACACACUCCUCUUGGGUUCAGUCUUUCCUUGUAUCUGAACUAGCAAGUACCUUAAAAGAAAAUAUCCCUAUCCACAAGGAAUUACAUAAUUUGGGAACGAGAGAAGGGAAGAGUGAUCUGAAGGAAGCAGAUACUGCAGAGCGCGUUCCAAUUUUGAAAAAAAAAAAAUAGUAUCUGUGCUUGCUGGGUUAGGUGGAGUUUUGGGUAAUGAAAACACAGGAAGGCCUAAGUCAGAGGGAUUUUAGAGGUUAUACUAAAGGGAUUGGUUGGAUACUGGCUAAGAAUGGAUCUUGUUGCAAGCAAAGCUAUUUGUAGCCUUUUUCCCUAAAUUUCCCCAAAUUACUUCCUGAUGGGAUGUGUUCU
This is an RNA transcript of Poecile atricapillus (Black-capped chickadee), 6722 nucleotides long. It is a transcript of the gene named ras homolog family member F, filopodia associated, with no coding region annotated. The transcript is spliced from 2 exons. Lineage: Eukaryota; Metazoa; Chordata; Aves; Passeriformes; Paridae. The record is from RefSeq and is a predicted model, not a curated record.